AGAGUUUGCUCCUGGCUCAGGAUGAACGGUGGCGGUCUGCUUAACACAUGCAAGUCGAACCGGCUCUUCGGAGCUAGUGGCGGACGGGUGAGUAACACGUGAGAAUCUGGCUCCCGGUCGGGGACAACAGAGGGAAACUUCUGCUAUUCCCGGAUGAGCCGAAAGGUAAAAGAUUUAUCGUCGGGAGAUGAGCUCGCGUCUGAUUAGCUAGUUGGUGAGGUAAAGGCUCACCAAGGCGACGAUCAGUAGCUGGUCUGAGAGGAUGAUCAGCCACACUGGGACUGAGACACGGCCCAGACUCCUUCGGGAGGCAGCAGUGGGGAAUUUUCCGCAAUGGGCGCAAGCCUGACGGAGCAAGACCGCGUGGGGGAGGAAGGCUCUUGGGUUGUAAACCCCUUUUCUCAAGGAAGAACACAAUGACGGUACUUGAGGAAUAAGCCUCGGCUAACUCCGUGCCAGCAGCCGCGGUAAUACGGAGGAGGCAAGCGUUAUCCGGAAUGAUUGGGCGUAAAGCGUCCGUAGGUGGCUGUUCAAGUCUGCUGUCAAAGACAGUGGCUUAACUACUGAAAGGCAGUGGAAACUGAACACCUAGAGUGCGGUAGGCGCAGAGGGAAUUCCCGGUGUAGCGGUGAAAUGCGUAGAUAUCGGGAAGAACACCGGUGGCGAAAGCGCUCUGCUGGGCCGCAACUGACACUGAGGGACGAAAGCUAGGGGAGCGAAUGGGAUUAGAUACCCCAGUAGUCCUAGCCGUAAACGAUGGAAACUAGGUGUAGCCUGUAUCGACCCGGGCUGUGCCGAAGCUUACGCGUUAAGUUUCCCGCCUGGGGAGUACGCACGCAAGUGUGAAACUCAAAGGAAUUGACGGGGGCCCGCACAAGCGGUGGAGUAUGUGGUUUAAUUCGAUGCAACGCGAAGAACCUUACCAGGGCUUGACAUGUCCGGAAUCUUGGUGAAAGCGGAGAGUGCCUUCGGGAGCUGGAACACAGGUGGUGCAUGGCUG
RNAcentral lists this ribosomal RNA (1000 nucleotides) under uncultured Arthrospira sp. RNAcentral's name for it is "bacterial SSU rRNA". It matches the Rfam family "Bacterial small subunit ribosomal RNA", at positions 8 to 1051 of the family's 1533-position model. Lineage: Bacteria; Bacillati; Cyanobacteriota; Cyanophyceae; Oscillatoriales; Microcoleaceae. The record is from RNAcentral.